AAGUGAUCCAGUAGGAUCUUGACAGUCUUUAUAUCCUUAUGCUAUCAUCGAAGUUCAUUUGACAUGGAUGCCAAUACAUAGCACCGAGCUUUGUUAUCAUCAUCCAUCUACUUUUCAUAUGCUGCCUUUUGAUCAGCAGUCGAUGGGCUGGUAGUAUAGAGGUGUCCUAAUUCAUGACAUAGCUCAGCUUCUCGAAAGUCAAAAUAAUUUUCAAGUUUUGGAGCUAGUUUUUAUAAUUUGAACCAAUUAGACGGUUGGUUUCGAGUAUAUGGAUGA
This 276-nucleotide long non-coding RNA is filed under the name Elaeis guineensis (African oil palm). Its description in RNAcentral is "long non-coding RNA (EGUI_LNC033285)". The record is from RNAcentral. Lineage: Eukaryota; Viridiplantae; Streptophyta; Magnoliopsida; Arecales; Arecaceae.